CUUCCGUAGGUGAACCUGCGGAAGGAUCAUUACCGAGUUUUCGGGCUUCGGCUCGACUCUCCCACCCUUUGUGAACGUACCUCUGUUGCUUUGGCGGCUCCGGCCGCCAAAGGACCUCCAAACUCCAGUCAGUAAACGCAGACGUCUGAUAAACAAGUUAAUAAACUAAAACUUUCAACAACGGAUCUCUUGGUUCUGGCAUCGAUGAAGAACGCAGCGAAAUGCGAUAAGUAAUGUGAAUUGCAGAAUUCAGUGAAUCAUCGAAUCUUUGAACGCACAUUGCGCCCCUUGGUAUUCCGGGGGGCAUGCCUGUUCGAGCGUCAUUACAACCCUCAAGCUCUGCUUGGAAUUGGGCACCGUCCUCACUGCGGACGCGCCUCAAAGACCUCGGCGGUGGCUGUUCAGCCCUCAAGCGUAGUAGAAUACACCUCGCUUUGGAGUGGUUGGCGUGCGCCCGCCGGACGAACCUUCUGAACUUUUCUCAAGGUGACCUCGGAUCA
This 500-nucleotide ribosomal RNA is filed under the name Botryosphaeria sp. SXZ-16. Its description in RNAcentral is "eukaryotic LSU rRNA". The stretch from base 170 to 323 matches the Rfam family "5.8S ribosomal RNA". The record is from RNAcentral. Lineage: Eukaryota; Fungi; Ascomycota; Dothideomycetes; Botryosphaeriales; Botryosphaeriaceae.